Molecule: ribosomal RNA, 497 nt
Filed under: uncultured bacterium
Lineage: Bacteria
Description: partial 16S ribosomal RNA
Rfam family: Bacterial small subunit ribosomal RNA
Source: RNAcentral
GACGAACGCUGGCGGCGUGCCUAAUACAUGUAAGUAGAACGCUGAAGAGAGGAGCUUGCUCUUCUUGGAUGAGUUGCGAACGGGUGAGUAACGCGUAGGUAACCUGCCUUGUAGCGGGGGAUAACUAUUGGAAACGAUAGCUAAUACCGCAUAACAAUGGAUGACACAUGUCAUUUAUUUGAAAGGGGCAAUUGCUCCACUACAAGAUGGACCUGCGUUGUAUUAGCUAGUAGGUGAGGUAAUGGCUCACCUAGGCGACGAUACAUAGCCGACCUGAGAGGGUGAUCGGCCACACUGGGACUGAGACACGGCCCAGACUCCUACGGGAGGCAGCAGUAGGGAAUCCUCGGCAAUGGGGGCAACCCUGACCGAGCAACGCCGCGUGAGUGAAGAAGGUUUUCGGAUCGUAAAGCUCUGUUGUAAGUCAAGAACGGGUGUGAGAGUGGAAAGUUCACACUGUGACGGUAGCUGACCAGAAAGGGACGGCUAACUACGUG